AUUGAACGCUGGCGGCAUGCCUUACACAUGCAAGUCGAACGGCAGCACGGGAGCAAUCCUGGUGGCGAGUGGCGAACGGGUGAGUAAUAUAUCGGAACGUGCCCGGUCGUGGGGGAUAACGUAGCGAAAGCUACGCUAAUACCGCAUACGAUCUACGGAUGAAAGCGGGGGAUCGCAAGACCUCGCGCGAUUGGAGCGGCCGAUAUCAGAUUAGGUAGUUGGUGAGGUAAAGGCUCACCAAGCCGACGAUCUGUAGCUGGUCUGAGAGGAUGACCAGCCACACUGGGACUGAGACACGGCCCAGACUCCUACGGGAGGCAGCAGUGGGGAAUUUUGGACAAUGGGCGCAAGCCUGAUCCAGCAAUGCCGCGUGCAGGAUGAAGGCCUCGGUUGUAAACUGCUUUGUACGGUAACGAAACGGUAGAGCUCUAAUACAGUUUGCUAAUGACGGUACCGUAAGAAUAAG
This 466-nucleotide ribosomal RNA is filed under the name uncultured bacterium. RNAcentral describes it as "bacterial SSU rRNA". It matches the Rfam family "Bacterial small subunit ribosomal RNA", at positions 30 to 490 of the family's 1533-position model. The record is from RNAcentral.